CACCCUCCAGCCAAACCGUUGUGAGGACUGAUUGCAGGGGAGCUGGGGCUCCAGAUGUUGCACUAGAGGCGCCGGGAGUGUGAGCAGGUUAUGGUGGACCUGCAUUACAGGUUGCAGCAGAUGUUCUCAAUAUUUCUAUUGGAAUUUUCUUAUUUCUACCUGCAAGGGGAGCCCCAGAGCCUCAUCCCUGUGGUAGCUUCCAUGACCUGGUAGCUUUGGCUAGAAAAUUGACUAGAUCAGCGAGCCCAUCUUCACUAUGGGAAAACAACGUGAAGUUCAUCUCUGUAGAUGGUCUUGUGAGAUGACCAUGAACUAAACUACAGCCAUCGAAUACUACUGUUUUCAAUCUGACUUGGUGUUGUUUACCUCUUGGCACAGUUGUACCUUUGGAGUCCAGAAGCAUUGUUAUACUUUUUCAGGCA
Carlito syrichta (Philippine tarsier) is the source of this 422-nucleotide long non-coding RNA. RefSeq lists it as uncharacterized. NCBI's taxonomy places the organism in Eukaryota, Metazoa, Chordata, Mammalia, Primates, Tarsiidae. The record is from RefSeq and is a predicted model, not a curated record. The transcript is spliced from 4 exons.